Molecule: ribosomal RNA, 253 nt
Filed under: uncultured bacterium
Lineage: Bacteria
Description: partial 16S ribosomal RNA
Rfam family: Bacterial small subunit ribosomal RNA
Source: RNAcentral
UACGUAGGGGGCAAGCGUUGUCCGGAAUCACUGGGCGUAAAGCGCGCGCAGGCGGUCAUCUACGUCUGGGGUGAAAGCUCGGAGCUCAACUCCGGGAUUGCCUUGGAUACGGGAUGACUUGAGGAUCGGAGAGGCAAGGGGAAUUCCACGUGUAGCGGUGAAAUGCGUAGAGAUGUGGAGGAACACCUGUGGCGAAGGCGCCUUGCUGGCCGAUUUCUGACGCUGAGGCGCGAAAGCGUGGGGAGCAAACAGG